Molecule: transfer RNA, 67 nt
Filed under: Marmota monax (woodchuck)
Lineage: Eukaryota; Metazoa; Chordata; Mammalia; Rodentia; Sciuridae
Description: tRNA.Ala
Source: RNAcentral
GGUUGUGGUUCAGUGGUAAAGUGCUUGCCUAGCAUGCGACAAGCACUGGGUUCGAUCCCCAGCACCA